This 253-nucleotide ribosomal RNA is filed under the name uncultured bacterium. RNAcentral's name for it is "partial 16S ribosomal RNA". It matches the Rfam family "Bacterial small subunit ribosomal RNA", at positions 524 to 776 of the family's 1533-position model. The record is from RNAcentral.
UACGUAGGGACCGCGCGUUGUCCGGAUUCAUUGGGCGUAACGAGCUCGUAGGCGGCUGCUCAAGUCGAAUGUGAAAACUCGAGGCUCAACCUCGAGCCUGCAUUCGAUACUGGGCGGCUAGAGUCUGGUAGGGGGAUCUGGAAUUCCUGGUGUAGCGGUGGAAUGCGCAGAUAUCAGGAGGAACACCGGUGGCGAAGGCGGGAUCCUGGGCCAGUACUGACGCUGAGGUGCGAAAGCGUGGGGAGCAAACAGG